This 723-nucleotide long non-coding RNA is filed under the name Homo sapiens (human). RNAcentral describes it as "non-protein coding lnc-GPT2-13:2". Lineage: Eukaryota; Metazoa; Chordata; Mammalia; Primates; Hominidae. The record is from RNAcentral.
GUCGCUCCCCGCCGGCUGCCGUUAGGGCUGGGAGCCGGCUGGGCGCGGGGGUAGUGAGGGUGCCUCUCGCCGUGGCUGCGCGGCGGCCUCGUCCGAGAGGCCGGCGCCGGGGCAGUGACCGGCCCGUGCCCAGCCGCCGCGCAGGGCGCCCGGGGCAGCUGGCCGAGCCCUCGAUGCCUCCCGUCUGACGGAGGCGCCCGGGAAGCGCCGCCCACCUCGGCCCCGCACCCUCGCCGGCCUGCCGGGUCUCCGCCAGCCCUAGCAGACAGAGAGGGGCGCCGGUCCCUAGUCCCCCAGACCUCCAUUCAAGGUCAAAACUUUGCCCAGCUCAGCCUUGCUCGACCCUGGGCAGGGAAGCGCGGACAUCGGCAGAGGGAGCCCGAGGCUCUCCGUGCCCUUCGCGCCGGUCAAGAACUGUGGAAUCUUUCAGAUGAUAUUCUGAUACUUCUGGACCAAGAUUGAAUUUGUUCUUCAUGAAAAAUGUCUGGGACCUUUUAUGUGGGAGGAGCCAAGAUGGCCGAAUAGGAAAAGCUCCGGUCUACAGCUCCCAGCGUGAGCAACGCAGAAGACGGGUGAUUUCUGCAUUUCCAUCUGAGGUACCGGGUUCAUCUCACUAGGGAGUGCCAGACGGUGGGUGCAGGUCAGUGGGUGCGCACACCGUGCGCGAGCGGAAGCAGGGCGAGCCAUUGCCUCACUCGGGAAGCGCAAGGGGUCAGGGAGUUC